Lucilia cuprina (Australian sheep blowfly) is the source of this 887-nucleotide long non-coding RNA. RefSeq lists it as uncharacterized. The transcript has 3 exons. NCBI's taxonomy places the organism in Eukaryota, Metazoa, Arthropoda, Insecta, Diptera, Calliphoridae. The record is from RefSeq and is a predicted model, not a curated record.
AGUCAACUGAACAGAACUCAAAACAAUAACACACAAAAAAAAACAAAUAAUAAUCCAACCUUACCGAUCGAGAGUAGUAAACACUUUGCUAUUUCUUGUCGAAGUAAAAUAACAUGGAAGUGGUGUACUCUAUACUCUAAAAAUUCAUCUACUACUACCAAACCGAUACUGUGUUGUUGUCGUUUAUUGCUGCCGUUUUAUUGUUGUUGUUGUUAUUUUUGUUUGAUAUUUUGUACGAUUGGACAUGAUCGUAACGUGUAAAAAUCAUAUAAAAAAAAACAUUUGACAUAAUGUUUUAGUGUGUGUGUGUGGCAUUAAAUACGAUUGCCGGCUUAAAAUUUCAUUCAAAAUAAAUUCGGAAACCAACUAUAAUAUUUAAUUAAGAAAUGUCGUUGAAAUUUAACUCAAAAUCGGAAGUACUUAAUAGAUUUGUCAUCGUUACUCAGUUGGCUAUUCACAAAGCAAUAAAGAUCAAGGGAAAUUGUUCUAGAGCAGCUCUUUAUCGUCAUAUUGACAGAUGUCAAUUAAAAAGCAACUUACAUAUGCUCCUUUUUUACAGGAGCGAUAAUCAUAGGGGAGACCAGUUGUUGCUAUAAUUACCUAUAGAAGUCAGUAAGAUUUUGAACCAAUUCUGACAUGGAGAUCUUAAUAUUUUUCCCGAUUCUUGGAACUUCACGUUAAUUUCUGAAACGAUUAAAUAAACUUCUACCGCCUUGUGUUCAAUUAUGUAUAUAUAUGCAUAUACACAACCGUAUACAUUGUAUACUUAACGUGCAAUCUUAGUAAAACGACCCAGCAACGCCGUUAAUUACAGUCUAGAGUCCAAACUUAUCGAAUUUUUAAUUCAUUAAUAUUAUUUUUUUUUAUAACAAUAAAUAAAUUCUAUA